Molecule: ribosomal RNA, 253 nt
Filed under: uncultured bacterium
Lineage: Bacteria
Description: partial 16S ribosomal RNA
Rfam family: Bacterial small subunit ribosomal RNA
Source: RNAcentral
UACGAAGGGGGCUAGCGUUGUUCGGAAUUACUGGGCGUAAAGCGCAUGUAGGCGGCUAUUCAAGUCGGGGGUGAAAUCCUGGGGCUCAACCUCAGAACUGCCUUCGAUACUGUUUAGCUCGAGUGUGGAAGAGGUUGGUGGAACUGCAAGUGUAGAGGUGAAAUUCGUAGAUAUUUGCAAGAACACCGGUGGCGAAGGCGGCCAACUGGUCCAUUACUGACGCUGAGAUGCGAAAGCGUGGGGAGCAAACAGG